RNAcentral lists this unclassified non-coding RNA (208 nucleotides) under soil metagenome. Its description in RNAcentral is "partial contains 5.8S ribosomal RNA, internal transcribed spacer 2, and large subunit ribosomal RNA". The record is from RNAcentral.
AACCAUUCUCACCUGCGGCUAGACCUGCGGAGGGAUCAUUACCGAGUUUACAACUCCCAAACCCCUGUGAACAUACCUAUAUGUUGCCUCGGCGGAUCAGCCCGCGCCCCGUAAAACGGGACGGCCCGCCGCAGGAUCCACAAACUCUGUUUUUAUUGUAACUUCUGAGUAACAAAACAAAUAAAUCAAAACUUUUAACAAUGGAUCU